This 562-nucleotide ribosomal RNA is filed under the name uncultured bacterium. RNAcentral describes it as "bacterial SSU rRNA". It matches the Rfam family "Bacterial small subunit ribosomal RNA", at positions 347 to 910 of the family's 1533-position model. The record is from RNAcentral.
GGCAGCAGUAGGGAAUAUUGGGCAAUGGUCGAGAGACUGACCCAGCCAUGCCGCGUGAAGGAAGAAGGCUUUCUGAAUUGUAAACUUCUUUUAUCUGGGAAAAAACGACCCUUGCGAGGGGCACUGAUGGUACCAGAUGAAUAAGCACCGGCUAACUCCGUGCCAGCAGCCGCGGUAAUACGGAGGGUGCAAGCGUUGUCCGGAUUUAUUGGGUUUAAAGGGUGCGUAGGCGGUUUUAUAAGUCAGUGUUUAAAGUCUGCAGCUUAACUGUAGAAGUGGCAUUGAUACUGUAGAACUUGAGUAAAGUUGAGGUAGGCGGAAUUGAUGGUGUAGCGGUGAAAUGCAUAGAUAUCAUCAAGAACAUCGAUUGCGAAGGCAGCUUACUAAGCUUUAACUGACGCUGAGGCACGAAAGCGUGGGGAUCAAACAGGAUUAGAUACCCUGGUAGCCCACACUGUAAACGUUGAUGACUCGAUGUUAGCGAUACACAGUUAGCGUCUUAGAGAAAUCGUUAAGUCAUCCACCUGGGGAGUACGCCGGCAACGGUGAAACUCAAAGGAAU